GCAGGCACCUUGACAAUGGACCUCCAGGCUCUUGCUAGUGUCCUCAGAUGGAGGUGGCCAUGACUCAAAAUGGUGGUGGUGGCAUGGCAAACCUGCAGGCACCAUGAUAUUGAGCUUCCAGGCCCUGGCUGAUGUCCCAAGAUGGAGGCUGCUGCAUUGGAAGAUGGAGCGAUUGUGGGCAACGUGGUCAGUGGGCUUGUUUUCUAAUAGCCUCUCCAGCAAAGGAUUAAUUACAGAAUACCCACAGGGAGAAGGAGAAAUGGCACUUUGACCCAAUUCUUGGCACCAGGCUGAAGGACCACACAUCCUGACCUGUGUUCAAUAGUGGAAUGAGAAAUAUCAAGACACAAAUUAGGAGCUGGCUUCGGUAAGUCAAUAGAACAAUUAAAAGUAGGAAAGUUCAUGAGGA
RNAcentral lists this long non-coding RNA (409 nucleotides) under Ictidomys tridecemlineatus (thirteen-lined ground squirrel). Its description in RNAcentral is "lncRNA (ENSSTOG00000030451.1)". The record is from RNAcentral. Lineage: Eukaryota; Metazoa; Chordata; Mammalia; Rodentia; Sciuridae.